UGGCUCUCGCUUCCAAAUCACGGGGUUUUCUCUCUCCUCAAAAUGCGAGCAGCUCUCUCUCUCUCUUCAAAUUCAGGGGAUUUUUUCUCUCUCUCUCCUCCCUGGUUUUCUUUCUCUGUCCUCCUUGAUUUUCUGCCUCUCGCUCCCUGUAACUUCUUAAACAAAAAUCGCACGCCCCAUUGAUAGGAGCUUAGCCCCUCCGCUCUCUCUGUCUCUCGCUCCCUAUGCCAAGCCCCUCUCUCUCUCUUUGCCAAUCCUACUGCUGGUGCACCCUCUCUGCCUCUUUCUCCCCUAAUCGCUUAGAAAAUCCCAUCGGCCCCUCGUCUUCCCUGUCCAAAGGCCCGUCCCACAGGGAAAAACCAAAGGCCGCUAGCGCACUGGCUCUGCCCCUCGAGCACCGUCUCGCGCAAGUACUCUCUCUCUCUCUCUGUAUUUGACUCAUACAAUCUAUUAUAAACAAUUUCCAUUAUCGAUUUGGGGGAGUUUGGGUUUUUAGUGGAAUCCCAAACAAUUUUGGUGGAAUCCACCUCAAAUUUUCUUUUUGAUGCAAAUGUCACGUACGUGGUAUGUGAAUAGUGGAAAGUCCGGAUGAAUUUAUCGAGUCUCUAUUGGGAGCGCAACAUGAGGUAGCUACUUCAUUUGGUGUAAACAUUGUUCUAGUGGAGAAAUACAUUUCUCGACCACGACAUAUAAAAAGUCCAGGUAUAGUUCGUCUGACUGCUUAACCUCUUCAGUAGGGCAGGACUGUUUGCAUGGUUCAUCAUAUUUGGCUGCAACAAAAUUUUACUAAUUUGCUGGACUGUAAGAGAGAAUCUUGUGGUUCUAGGUGGUUGGAUGCCUAAAUUUGUAGUUUCUUAUAUUAAACUGCCCACAACAUUUACAUAUUUGGAUUUUUCAAAGAAUGCAUUCAGCCAGAUGGUCUUUACCAAACUACAGGAAAUGUCAUGCACCCAAUUAUGAAGCCUCUUACAAUGGAUUUUUUUUAUGACAUUCAAUGAUUAAUUUUGUUUUGGCGGGCAUAUUCAACCUCACAAUGAGCAUUGAUCUAUUUUAGCCAUGGUUUUUCUGUCCUUUCUGGCCUGAUACACGACAUGUAUUUGUUGAUGUUGGACUUGGAUUUCAUGAAGAAUUUAUAAUGUUUGAAGCUUUGGAGUUUAUAUUCGUAAAGGAAGCAAGACUUGCCCGGUAAAUCCACCUCUACUGUUAUUCUUGAACUUGAAGCUUCAGUUGGUAGAACUCGUGCUUUUGGAUCACAUGUUUAUAUGCUUUGUGUGUUUGAAUGCAAUCUAGAAAUGACCACUAACCUUCAUAAGUUAUUACUUUUAGCAAUUUAAUUCCAAUUUCAGUGUCCUAGUUGUCAAAAUAGUUUUAUCUUGAUAUAGAACCAUCUAUUGAAACAUGAUUAAGUACACAUCAAAUUAUACCCUCCAUAAUACAUCGAAGUAUGUGAAGGGAAAAUUAAGGGCCAGUUUGGAUGUAACCAAAAUCCUCAUUUUUAUUGAUGAUUGUUUGAAAAUCUAUGCCAAAGGGUUAAAAGUUUAUUAUGGAUGUUUGUUUGAAAAUGUAUUUUUGUAGUUUGCAGUUUCACGUUGGGUAAGUCAAAAAACUGAGAUAGAUCCUAAGAAUCCAGUCAGUGUGACAUCUAGCACAUGCCCAAAUAUAGGCAGCAUUGAUGAAAUCCCUGACGGUGGUUGUGGCUCACCAAACAAAGGCCAUGAAAUAGAAGAAUUAUGUAUAGGAAUGAUGUUUGGAUAAGAGGAUGAUGCAUAUGAAUUCUUCAAGUCUUAUGCAUUGACCAAAGGUUUUGGUAUUCGCAGGGGGAGUAAUCAUAACAAGAAAGGUAAAUGGAUCGAUAGGGUUUAUGUUUACUCGAAGGAAUAAACAAGAAAAACCUAAUAAAAGUGAAAAUGUUUACCCUGAGUUAAGGUGUAGGUGCAAGGUUAGGAUGUGUAUAAGUAGUCAAGAAGAUGGCGAGUAGAAAGUGACUAGCAUCGUUAAAGAUCAUAAUCACUAGAAAAGCUCAUCUAAUUAGCACACAUCGAUCAUUGUCGAGUGCUACGAAGUCAUUAAUACAUUCAAUGAGCUCGGCAAUGGUUAAGCCUAGACAUAUUCUUAGAGGAGAAGAGGGCAAUUUAAUUUUGCAAUGGCUCUAUAAAAAGAACCAAUCGAACCGAUCAUUUUUCUAUAAAUUGAGAUUAGAUGAUGAUGAACAUAUUUACAGUAUCUUAUGGGUAGAUUGUACAUCUAAAGUUUCCUAUCAAUGAUUUUCUGAUGUGGUUACCUUUGAUACCACAUACAAGACAAAUACGUUUGGUAUGCCCUUUGCACCUAUACUUGGUGUAAAUCACCAUUUCAAUACAACUUUAUUUGAAUUUACACUCAUAUUUGAAGAGAAGAUAGAAUCAUUUAUAUAGGUAUUUGAAAAGUGGUUGGAAGCCAUGGGUGGAUGGCAACCAAGUGUUAGUCUCACAGAUCAAGAUCCUGCAAUUUCAUAUGCAGUGAGACAAGUUCUUUACCAAAGUAAGCAUCAUUAUUGUAAGUGGCACAUAUUUGCGAAAAUCAAAGAAAAAAUGCGUCAUGUCUUGCGUAUGCAUCCUUCUUAUUUAGAUACCUUUAGGAGGUGUGUGGCUAGCCCAACAAUUGAAGAUUUUGAAUCGAGAUGGAAAUCAAUGAUCGAGAAUUAUAAGUUGGAAGACAAUGAAUGGCUCGGUAGGCUUUAUGGUUGUCGCAUGUAAUGGGUUGAUGCAUACUUGGUUGGCACGUUCACUGCGGGUAUGACCUCUACUCAAAGGAGUGCAGGAAUGAAUAAACACUUUAAGAUGUACUUGACACCCAGAACAAGAUUGCGUACAUUAUUAGAAGCUGUCGCAAAAGUCCAAGAUAAGAAGGUACGAAAAGAGCGAAAAAAUGACUUGACAGAUAUUCAAACAACUCCAGUAUUGCAAACAACCACUUUCAUUGAUUCACAUGCAUAAAAAAUCUAUACUCAAAAGAUUUUGAAGAUAUUUGGGGAAGAGGUGGCUAAUUGCUUUAAUUUUACGAGAGAGACAGUUGAAGACAAUGGACAGGUUGCUAUGAACCAUGUCAAUGAAGAUGACAAUUCUGAUAGUUGUAGUAACACACCAAAUGAAAGUAACCAUUGCCGCAAUGUCCUUGAACCUGCACGAGCACAGACAAAGGAUGACCGGCCACUAAAAGAUUGAAAGCUCGUUCUGAAGGAUGGAAGCCGAAGACAAAAAAAAAGAAAUGCACAAUCUGCAAUGGCAGUGGACAUGACAAAAGGAACUGCCCGUCGUUCGUUUGUGAUAGGACAAAACAUGGUGUAAGCUUCAGACCCAUAAGAAGGCAGCAAAUGCGAGUUGAUGAUAGAGACGACAAAUUCAUAUGGAACAACUUCAAAGGACGAGCUAUGUUGCUUUUUUUUUUGAAAAGUUUGUUGUUAAACAAUUGGCAUUAUUGAUGUAUGUUGUAUGCCAUUCACUCAAAAAAAGGAUGUAGGUUAUAUGCUAUUGUACUCUUUUCACUUCUUUUUGGGUUGUAAGGUGAUUGGGUACAAGAAAAGAACGAUUAUUUGAAAAAGGGCAGGACUACUGAACUUUAUAUGAACAAUUUUGUUAUUGAAUGGAAUACCCCAUUUGGCAGGUAA
Long non-coding RNA from Amborella trichopoda, 3646 nucleotides. RefSeq lists it as uncharacterized. NCBI's taxonomy places the organism in Eukaryota, Viridiplantae, Streptophyta, Magnoliopsida, Amborellales, Amborellaceae. The record is from RefSeq and is a predicted model, not a curated record.